GAUGAACGCUGGCGGUGUGCCUAAUACAUGCAAGUCGAGCGAACAGACGAGGAGCUUACUCCUCUGACGUUAGCGGCGGACGGGUGAGUAACACGUGGAUAACCUACCUAUAAGACUGGGAUAACUUCGGGAAACCGGAGCUAAUACCGGAUAACAUGUUUAACCGCAUGUUUCAACAGUGAAAGACGGUCUUGCUGUCACUUAUAGAUGGAUCCGCGUCGCAUUAGCUAGUUGGUAAGGUAACGGCUUACCAAGGCAACGAUGCGUAGCCGACCUGAGAGGGUGAUCGGCCACACUGGAACUGAGACACGGUCCAGACUCCUACGGGAGGCAGCAGUAGGGAAUCUUCCGCAAUGGGCGAAAGCCUGACGGAGCAACGCCGCGUGAGUGAAGAAGGUCUUCGGAUCGUAAAACUCUGUUAUUAGGGAAGAACAAAUGUGUAAGUAACUAUGCACGUCUUGACGGUACCUAAUCAGAAAGCCACGGCUAACUACGUG
RNAcentral lists this ribosomal RNA (497 nucleotides) under uncultured bacterium. RNAcentral's name for it is "partial 16S ribosomal RNA". It matches the Rfam family "Bacterial small subunit ribosomal RNA", at positions 28 to 507 of the family's 1533-position model. The record is from RNAcentral.